AUGGCUCAGGAUAAACGCUGGCGGCGUGCUUAACACAUGCGAGUCAACGGGGUAUCCUCGGACGAUCAAAGAGCUUGCUCGGAGAGAAUCUUUGGAAUACUUAGUGGCGGACGGGUGAGUAACGCGUGGGUAACCUGCCUCACACUGGGGGAUAGCAGUUGGAAACGACUGAUAAUACCGCAUAAGCGCACGGUAUCGCAUGAUACAGUGUGAAAAACUCCGGUGGUGUGAGAUGGACCCGCGUCUGAUUAGCUAGUUGGUGAGGUAACGGCCCACCAAGGCGACGAUCAGUAGCCGGCCUGAGAGGGUGUACGGCCACAUUGGGACUGAGACACGGCCCAAACUCCUACGGGAGGCAGCAGUGGGGAAUAUUGCACAAUGGGGGAAACCCUGAUGCAGCCGACGCCGCGUGAGUGAAGAAGUAUUUCGGUAUGUAAAGCUCUAUCAGCAGGGAAGAUAAUGACAGUACCUGACCAAGAAGCCCCGGCUAACUACGUGCCAGCCGCCGC
This 509-nucleotide ribosomal RNA is filed under the name uncultured bacterium. RNAcentral describes it as "bacterial SSU rRNA". It matches the Rfam family "Bacterial small subunit ribosomal RNA", at positions 19 to 518 of the family's 1533-position model. The record is from RNAcentral.